Populus trichocarpa (black cottonwood) is the source of this 3470-nucleotide long non-coding RNA. RefSeq lists it as uncharacterized. The transcript has 2 exons. The record is from RefSeq and is a predicted model, not a curated record. Lineage: Eukaryota; Viridiplantae; Streptophyta; Magnoliopsida; Malpighiales; Salicaceae.
GCUUUCUCUGUCUUUUCAAUUCUAAUGUAUGAUUUUUGGAUUUGCCGAAAUGGGUCUUUUCUAUUUUUCCAUUUUACUCUCUCACUCGAUUUUAUACUUGGGCUGGAUAAUUUUUAUCUUUCCGGUUUGGGAAUCGAAGAAUAUUUAUAUACUACCACUUUUUACCGUCUUGAUUCUUGAAAUGACUCCUUGAAUCUCCUUUCUUGAAUCUUGGUUACAUUUUUCGAUGUUUUCUUGUAAAAUAGAGGGAUUUAGAUGGAUCUUAUAAUAAUUGUAUUGCAUUUCAAUAGUUGCUUGGCUAAGAGUAAAUGUUCUGAUUGAGGAAUUUUAAUGUUUCUUGCUGCGUAUUGGGAAUGGUUCAGCUGUCAGGCUGAGUAAUGACUUAGCAAUCGUGGAAUUGAGGGGUUUGCUGCUGUUACUGUUUGUUAUCCAAUGAUUGAUCACCCUAGCUCUGGCAUAUUACAUGUGUUCUUUGUCUAUCCUAGCUCUGGCAUAUUACAUGUGUUCUUUGUCUAUCCUAGCUCUGGCAUAUUACAUGUGUUCUUUGUCUAUCCUAGCUCUCUAGGAAUACCCUUAUUAUGAUUUCUGUUGACAAUCAGAAGUUGAUAUGAGGCAAUAGAGUUUCGUAGAUGUUUGAGUGUGACUUGUAUAUUUGACUUUGAGCAGUUGCAUUUCUUUUAUCUAAGUGGGUGAUGACAUAUCAGUUUGUCCAUGGUGUCAAUGUUCAAACAUGCCAAAUAGAGAAUUAGCAUAUUGCGCUGAUAAGUCUGAUGUUUCAUAGCAAAAUGGUUUUCCCUGGUGGCCCACCCCUCCCUCUAAACUGAAUUUCUACAGUGAUAUGGCAUCACCAUUUGGAUUAGCUUGCAACUGAGGUUCUCAUAGAUCAUUAACUAAAAAAAAAGGGGGAUUCUGGAGGUUUCUCAGAGUUUCAAGUUUAUACUAGCUAGACCAAUCAAUUUGUGAAAGCCUAUGCAACACAGGCUCAUUGUUUGAGUUAUGGAUGUAUAUAUUAUGCAAAGGAGCACCUGAUUCUCGCCUAUUGAGACUCUGUACUUACUUUCAUUACACAUCCUUCAGGUCUCAAAUAACUGAAAAACUGUCAAAUAGCUUUGGUAAUUAAUUGUUUCAAAUUUUUAGAUGGCCUUUUACGAAACCAAGAUCCAGAUAUUGGCAGUUAAAUUGUCUGAAGUACUGGAUGAAAUUUAUUUGACACUUUUUUUUUUGGUUGUUUGGCAUACAACCGGUAACAUCAACAUCUUAAUGAACAGAAAAUACAAUUUACAGGCUUUGUCGGGGUUUUUGCUUACUGUCACUAGUUUCAGCUAUUGGGUUAAGGUGCAGGUUGAAAACAAUUUAAAUUUGAUUAACUGUGAGGCUAAAGUGUUGGAAAGAAAUAUUUUUUAUCUGCCUUCUGGGGUCCUGCAAAUCAUGUAUACCAGUGUCUCUUUUGGCAUAUAUUUCCUUUCAGUUACCGGAGACUUGGCUACCAUCAAGUUAAUUGUGCAGUUUGUUUCUUCUGGUUUAUGACAUUAAUUGAUGCUAGGAUGUAAUUGAACAAGGUGAUGGAAGGAUCAAAAGAUUGUGCUGUGUACAUAUUCUUUUUAUCUGAAAUAGGAAAAUGUAGAUGAUUGUCAUUAUAUUGACAUAGUGAAACUUUUAAAUUGAUUCAGAAAAGAUGACUAUAUUAUGUCAUCAUGGGCUUAGCACUCUGCUCUGUUGUUUUUCUCUCUAGAAGUGUCAUAAAUGGUGCACAUGACUGUCAUAUGCUUCCCCUGCUCUCUUGUCUUGCAUUUGCUUCAACAACUUUAUUUAUAUUUUUUACAGCUGUUUGAUGUGUCUACUUAAAUUUCUGUUUUGUUUUGUGCAUUUCAUGGUGUUAAAUUUAUUGUACUAUAAGUAUGUGGAGGCACAGGCUCUACCUGCUGUGCCGAUGCUCUUUGUUGUUAAUGUGAAAUUGAUAAGGAGUGUUAUUCCUUUUCUAUUCACUUGAGAAAUUGUGUUAUUUCAAUGAGAUGGGAUGAACUCUACUCACUUCAGUUGCUUUUUCCGGCAUAUGGUGGGUGUUUGAAUCAAUCUUCUGAUAUUGCUUUAUGACUGGUGCUUGCUAUAGUCACUUGAAGGCACUAUAAUUACAGUUCCUUACAAGUUCCAAACUGUUUAGUAUGUUCACUUAUUGCCUGAAUAAAUUAUUUGACCUUUAUGAUUUACUAAUUAUUUCAUGAUUAUAGCAAUUAAAAAUGAUUAGUGCAGUUAAGACUCAGAAAGUAUUUUGUUACUUUAGAGAAGAAAAUACAUUAUUCAAAUGGUGACAAGCCUUUUUAAGUGAUUAUGUACUGUCGAGGAUAUUUACUUAAUGUAUUAUCUUGUAUCUUUGUAAAUUAACUAACUGAUCCAUAGCGGUGAUGUUUUUAGGAUUAUGAACUAUUAAGUGUUUGUAUCUAAUGCGCCAUAAACUUUAUCUUAUCAAUUGGUAACUUGAAAACACCUAGAACUGCAGUAUCUUCAAGUAAACUUAGAAAUGGCCUUGCCAGAUGUCCACUUUCACUGCUAUCUGUAGGUGAUACCUGGAAAUUCUAGCCACUAUGGUACAUAGAAUUUUUUUUAAUCCAUUCCAAUUCAGUAUAGUUAUCAGUUCUUUUUGAAAGAUCAAACUAAUGAGUUGGUUUAGAUGUCACAUUACUCGUAAAUUUGUUAAGCACCCUUUUUGGACUUGACACGAAUGGGUGGGUGGAUAUUGUAUGUGCUACUGUGAUGGUUGAACAUGGUUGAAGGUAAUAUAGUCCAAUCAAAUUUAUGUACAUUGCCUAGUGAAUCAUCCAUGUUGGAGAUGCUGUGUUAAGGCUGUACUUCAUAUUACACAUUUCUUCUUAUGUUUUGAUGGUUCUAGUAUGAUCUUUUCAUCUUAUUGGGGAUAAAUGCAUUCAAAACCUUUCUGCACACUAGUACUGAAUUCUCAAAUCCUCGGAUAUAAAUAUUUGGAGCUAUGUGAUUAAUGUUCUCCAUUGAUAAUUGUUUCAUGGUUAUAUGCUGUAGAAAUUCCGAAUCCUCCAGAUUUGAUUACAGAACUUGUCAUCAACUACUAAGCAGUAGGCAGUGCACUAGCACCUCUCAUGGCAAUUCUUUUAGGUGCACACUUCAUGGAUGCCUUGGUUGGGAGUAUCAUCAGAUGCAAUGCUGCACCAAGCAGGGAGUAUGGAGUGAUUAUUACCCAUGAGAGCUUUAUGAUGACGUGGGACAAGUGAAAUCAUCUCGUACACGCUCUCACAACCAUCUCCCAAAAUUGGUGUUUAGGUGUAGCUUGUUGAUCUGUUCUGUACCCUUGGUAGUCUAUGUUUGGAAUAAUAUUUCUACAUGUAUAUGGUUACUAGCUGCAACAUUUGGUGCGACUUCUUUGUGUAAAUGUUAGAUUUGUGGGAUGGGGAUGUUCGUGUAGUUUUCCAGCUAAAUUGCUUGAUUAGUAGUUCUCAGGA